GGAGAUAAAAAAAAAAGAAAACAUUGUUUUAAGUCCAAACCUGUUAGACCAAAAAAAAAAGAAAACUGACUAUAAAAACUAUAAAACGUCAACUCUCAAGGCCUGAACUUCAACCUUGCCAACACACACAAAAGUAAUUUUUGUCUGUGACAGAGGUCAAUUAGCUGGCCAUUUUUCUUUUUAUCUUCAAUCAAAGUUUGAAGUGGCUCUGUCUUGCAAAUUUCCCUGCAUUUCUCUGCAAAUUGUGACAGUUUUUGCCCUCUAUGAACAUUUUCACGCAAGUUCUUGUAGGCUUCAGUGUCACACGCCUCCAGCUCCGCUAUUGCUGCAGUGUCAACAAUGGUUUUUCUGUCAAUCCCACAGUUGCGGUAAGCCAGGGUUUUGGUGACUCCCUUAUCGAUGUACUGCAGGACCUUUUUAUACCUCUGGAUAACAUGCUCUGGUAGAAACACUGGGAGAGAACAAAGGUUUUUGAACAACAAAAAAAUGGCACUUGGAACGAAAGUUGUUUCACUUUGUGCGCAAACCAGCAGUUAGUCGAAUGGCUACAAAAACAUAGACUCAUCAAGUCAAGGAUGAAAUGCAGACUGUGUAAAAAAAAAAAUGAAAUUCCAGAAGACACAAACAGGCGAUGGAUUCCAAUGGAAAUGUAGAAGACGAACACAUAGUAAAGUGAAAAAGACAUGCAGGGCGGGAUCAGUUUUUGAGAAAAGCAAGGUGACCUUACAAAACUGGAUGAAGUUCAUAUACCGUAUGGACGUGGGAGAGUAGGUGGAAGAUGGAAAAGGAAAAAGUGGGUGUUCGGCAUGCUGGCCAUUAAAGCUCAAAGACGACGACCGAUUUUGCGACUCGUAGAACGCCGUUCAAGAAAUCAUCUCAUUAUCAGAAGACAUGUUCGCCCAGGAUCCACAAUGUUAAGUGAUGAGUGGAGACACUACAGGGCUUUGACAGGGAUGGGCUACUCUCACUACUCUGUGAAUCACAGCAGGUUCUUUGUUAACCCAAAUCAUGGAGGACACACACAACAUCUUGAAAGGGCAUGGUCUACAUACAAAAGUCAGAUCUGGAGAUUGAGAGGCAACAAGACCGAGAAGCUCUUGAAGGAACACCUGGCCUGUAUUGAAUGGACUCAUUGGAUGGGGAUGGAGCACAGAUAUGGUCCUCUGGGGCGUUUGAUGAAGGAUAUUAGAAAGUAUUACUGCAUUUAAGACAUUACAUUGGAUAAUGUUAUUCAAACAUUGUUCAGUAAAGUAAUUUGAGGACAUAAAGCUAAUACAUUUUUUUAAACAGCC
Molecule: long non-coding RNA, 1292 nt
Organism: Esox lucius (northern pike)
Lineage: Eukaryota; Metazoa; Chordata; Actinopteri; Esociformes; Esocidae
Source: Ensembl